Molecule: microRNA precursor, 60 nt
Filed under: Podarcis lilfordi (Lilford's wall lizard)
Lineage: Eukaryota; Metazoa; Chordata; Lepidosauria; Squamata; Lacertidae
Source: RNAcentral
UUUGGAUGAUGAUGAUGAUGAUGAUGAUGAUGAUUAUCAUCAUCAUCAUCAUUAUUGGCU